RNAcentral lists this ribosomal RNA (253 nucleotides) under uncultured bacterium. RNAcentral describes it as "partial 16S ribosomal RNA". It matches the Rfam family "Bacterial small subunit ribosomal RNA", at positions 524 to 776 of the family's 1533-position model. The record is from RNAcentral.
UACAGAGGGUGCAAGCGUUAAUCGGAAUUACUGGGCGUAAAGCGCGCGUAGGUGGUUCGUUAAGUUGGAUGUGAAAUCCCCGGGCUCAACCUGGGAACUGCAUCCAAAACUGGCGAGCUAGAGUAGGGCAGAGGGUGGUGGAAUUUCCUGUGUAGCGGUGAAAUGCGUAGAUAUAGGAAGGAACACCAGUGGCGAAGGCGACCACCUGGGCUCAUACUGACACUGAGGGGCGAAAGCGUGGGGAGCAAACAGG